GGGGCUGUUUGGUUUUGACAGCAGGUAGAAUGGAUAUGUAAGCAUGCAGAGCGCGCGGCGGCAGCUCUUUAAUCUCGCUUCCGGACAUUUUAAUUGGCGAAACUUCUUACGCUCUCGCUGCCUGAUUGAAGUAUAGUAGAUCGGCCUAUUUCGGCACAAGGUGCUGAAACGAGACAUCGCCCCGUUGCCCUCUCUUCGAGGCGUUCGGACCCGGCGGUGCAAGAAUAUCGGAGAUAGUCGGUGCCGGCUGUGCGGCACAGGCGAAAUUCAAGCAGAUAAGCCUGCGGUUGGUGGCUCGGGUCUUGCCGCAGGACGAAAACGAAGGCCGGGAUAAGCAUGUAGAAAGCGUAUGUGUUCCUUGUUUGGACGAGGGUUCGACUCCCUCCAGCUCCACUC
This 396-nucleotide transfer-messenger RNA is filed under the name Paludibacteraceae bacterium. It matches the Rfam family "transfer-messenger RNA". Rfam says of the family: Bacterial tmRNA, also known as 10Sa RNA or SsrA, is named for its dual tRNA and mRNA-like properties. Its role is to liberate the mRNA from a stalled ribosome. The record is from RNAcentral. Lineage: Bacteria; Pseudomonadati; Bacteroidota; Bacteroidia; Bacteroidales; Paludibacteraceae.